RNAcentral lists this ribosomal RNA (487 nucleotides) under uncultured bacterium. Its description in RNAcentral is "bacterial SSU rRNA". It matches the Rfam family "Bacterial small subunit ribosomal RNA", at positions 30 to 507 of the family's 1533-position model. The record is from RNAcentral.
AUUGAACGCUGGCGGCAGGCCUAACACAUGCAAGUCGAGCGGUUGAAGGUAGCUUGCUACCUGAUGCAGCGGACGAACGGGUGAGUAAUGCAUGGGAAUCUGCCGUGGUAGGUGGGGACAACGUCUACGAAAGGGACGCUAAUACCGCAUACGCCCGUACGGGGAAGGGGGGGAUCUUCGGACCUCUCGCUAUCAGAUGAGCCCAUGUCAGAUUAGCUUGUUGGUGAGGUAAAGGCUCACCAAGGCGACGAUCUGUAACUGGUCUGAGAGGAUGAUCAGUCACACUGGAACUGAGACACGGUCCAGACUCCUACGGGAGGCAGCAGUGGGGAAUCUUCCGCAAUGGGCGAAAGCCUGACGGAGCAACGCCGCGUGAGUGAUGACGGCCUUCGGGUUGUAAAACUCUGUGAUCCGGGACGAAAAGGCAGAGUGCGAAGAACAAACUGCAUUGACGGUACCGGAAAAGCAAGCCACGGCUAACUACGUG